AUAGAACAAGUAAUUUCUAAAAGACGGAGAACUCAAACUGCUUCGAUCAAUAUGUUUAACUCAAACUAGUGAAUAUAUUCAACAUCAUCUCAACUAAUUGAGCUCUUCAACAUCUCUACCAACAUUUCAGGAGGAGAAAGUUUUAUGUUUCUUCCCUCGGGGUUCUAUGAUCUCUUCAACAUCAUCUCAAGGAAUUUACUAUAAAUAUUACCGAGUGUGAAGCGCCCAAUGGUGUUUGCUUAAAAAAUGCACCUUUCCAUUGUUCUCAGUACACAUUCAUCGUGUUGUUUAGUAACCAAUGCACGGGAACAGUAUUCAGAUAAUAAGAUGAAGAUAAUCAAACAUUCCAGAUUUGGCUAAGUCAUGAUGAUGUCAGAUUUGAUGCACUCGUGAAUUUGCGGAAGAACCACAUGUGAAAUCUGGAUGGUCAACUGAGGCCACAAACAACUCAGCAUUCGGAGCCUCUAAUUCGAGAAUAACCACGAGAUUUUUUCCUUCUUGCAGGAUUGGAGCAGGAACAUAAAGGUUGCACUGGGGUCCAAAGGACGGCCAAAACCUUCCUAAAUUAAAUCCAUUGAUAAAUACAACCCCUUUACUCCAGCCACGAAAAGACAAAAAAGUGUCUUUUACUUCAUCAACUGUAAGAUGACCAAUGUAGAAAGCUGGCACUGGAUGAUAAUUUCUUUUGUUUUUAAGUUUUAUCUGCACAGAUUCUCUAAGGUCGGUGUAUGCAUCUGAAAUAACAGAAUUAUUCUUUUGAUCCUCAUUUAGGUUGUGAAAAGGAAUCGGCAACAUUUUCCACUUCUGCAACGGUUUACCAUCUAAAUAAACAGGAGAGAGUAUACCCUUCUUGUCAAAAAUGUAUUUCCCAUAAUUUAUACGCCCCAUAUUUUCCACCAGUAUAUAAAUUCUGUUAUCCGAAGUACAUUGAGUAUGAGGAAGCCUGAUGGAAGUAUUUGACCAUCUAGCUACAGUGCCUACAUAUUCUGGAUUUUCGUCAUAGUUGUCUGAAGGGCAUGAAAUGAAUACUUGCGCCCUGUCAUGCACCUUUGGUAUGAAUAACAAACCUCCAUUAGCUUUUGCUUUGUAAUCAGAAACAUAAAGCAUGAAGCCAAACAUCUGGUCCAAAGACUCCAUUGCAAGUGGGUUUUCAGAUUCAGUGACACCAUCAAAGUAUGUGGUAUCAACUAUGUUAAACAAUGAUUUAGUCUUCUGCAACUUAAUAAGUCCAUAUGCUUUCUUUUCAGUAUUGGAAGGAACUGAAGGAAGAGGAACUGCAGUAUAUUUAGCAAUCACCCUUCGAA
This 1304-nucleotide unclassified non-coding RNA is filed under the name Hevea brasiliensis (rubber tree). The record is from RNAcentral. Lineage: Eukaryota; Viridiplantae; Streptophyta; Magnoliopsida; Malpighiales; Euphorbiaceae.